GACUCUAUGUCGGUUUUUAUUUCCUUGGAUUUGGUUAAGUGGUUCCAAAAGAUCUUCAUAGUCUUCGUUGAUUUAAUAUUAUUUUCUUCAGGUAACUAAUAUUUCUCGUCUGAGCAAAGAAUGUUAUUUUCAUUGAAACAAAGACACUAUGUCUGGAUGAGAUUGCUCAUGUUGUUGAAGGUGAUGCGGUGUCAGAGCUAGGUUGUGGCGAUGGGUCUAGUGUCUCAAGGUGCGGCA
Molecule: long non-coding RNA, 237 nt
Organism: Juglans microcarpa x Juglans regia
Lineage: Eukaryota; Viridiplantae; Streptophyta; Magnoliopsida; Fagales; Juglandaceae
Exons: 2
Source: RefSeq, a predicted model, not a curated record